Molecule: antisense RNA, 74 nt
Filed under: Streptomyces alboflavus
Lineage: Bacteria; Bacillati; Actinomycetota; Actinomycetes; Kitasatosporales; Streptomycetaceae
Description: ASpks TB sRNA
Rfam family: ASpks TB sRNA
Source: Rfam by way of RNAcentral
CUUCACGGAGCCGAGGAGCAGCGGCCGGUCGGCCGGCGCUCCUUGCCGUAGGUGGCGAUGAGGGCCUGCGCCUC